RNAcentral lists this transfer RNA (57 nucleotides) under Crossoptilon crossoptilon (white-eared pheasant). RNAcentral describes it as "partial tRNA-Ser". The record is from RNAcentral. Lineage: Eukaryota; Metazoa; Chordata; Aves; Galliformes; Phasianidae.
UGGUUUGAUGCGGUUGGCUUGAACCAGCAUGUGAGGGUUCGAUUCCUUCCUUUCUUG